RNAcentral lists this ribosomal RNA (253 nucleotides) under uncultured bacterium. RNAcentral's name for it is "partial 16S ribosomal RNA". It matches the Rfam family "Bacterial small subunit ribosomal RNA", at positions 524 to 776 of the family's 1533-position model. The record is from RNAcentral.
UACGUAGGGGGCAAGCGUUGUCCGGAUUUAUUGGGCGUAAAGCGCUCGCAGGCGGUCGGAUAAGUCGAAUGUGAAAGCCCCCGGCUCAACUGGGGAGGGUCAUUCGAUACUGUUCGACUCGAAGGCAGGAGAGGGAAGUGGAAUUCCCGGUGUAGUGGUGAAAUGCGUAGAUAUCGGGAGGAACACCAGUGGCGAAGGCGACUUCCUGGCCUGUUCUUGACGCUGAGGCGCGAAAGCUAGGGGAGCAAACGGG